GUCAAAAGAUACAGGUAAGUCCCUGCUUUUUAAUUUGUAAUAAUUUUAAUCCCUAAUAUACAUAUUAGUCAUUGUCUAAAUUGGCUGUCAAUUUUUUUCAAUUUAAAAUAAUUUAGUCUUUUAAAUUUUAUUUUAUUAAUAAAAUAAUCCUUACAUUUGAUUUAAUAUUUAAAUAAUUAUAUAUUUUAUAAAAUAUUAAAUAUUUUUCUAUUUAUAAUUAUUUAAAUAAAAAUAGUAAAAAGUAUAAAAUAUAAAUUUAGAUAUGGGAACUAUUUUGUUGAUAAAAUAAAAUUCUAGGGACUAGAUUGUUUUAAAUUGAAAAGUAGUUGAUGGCAGAGAGUAAUUUGCUAAUGGAAUUUAAAUUUGAGAACCAAAUCAUUACUAAAAAAUAAAUCAAGAACUAACAUGUGAGUUUUGCUAUACCUCAAGGACUUAGUUGUAAUUUAUCCAAAAAAAAAGUGUGAUAGUAGCAUAGCAUAGGGUGCUUGAAGGGUUUAUUUUCUACUGGCUAGUCAAAAUGCAAGGAUGACUAUUGAUUGGUAAAUUUAACAAUAUUAUCCCAACUUAGUAUACUGUGAAAAUUUUGCUUGAAGGUCCUACAAAAGGCUUUGGAAG
This 615-nucleotide unclassified non-coding RNA is filed under the name Hevea brasiliensis (rubber tree). Lineage: Eukaryota; Viridiplantae; Streptophyta; Magnoliopsida; Malpighiales; Euphorbiaceae. The record is from RNAcentral.